GUGAACGCUGGCGGUAGGCCUAACACAUGCAAGUCGAACGGCAGCACAGUAAGAGCUUGCUCUUACGGGUGGCGAGUGGCGGACGGGUGAGGAAUACAUCGGAAUCUACUUUUUCGUGGGGGAUAACGUAGGGAAACUUACGCUAAUACCGCAUACGACCUACGGGUGAAAGCAGGGGAUCUUCGGACCUUGCGCGAUUGAAUGAGCCGAUGUCGGAUUAGCUAGUUGGCGGGGUAAAGGCCCACCAAGGCGACGAUCCGUAGCUGGUCUGAGAGGAUGAUCAGCCACACUGGAACUGAGACACGGUCCAGACUCCUACGGGAGGCAGCAGUGGGGAAUAUUGGACAAUGGGCGCAAGCCUGAUCCAGCCAUACCGCGUGGGUGAAGAAGGCCUUCGGGUUGUAAAGCCCUUUUGUUGGGAAAGAAAAGCAGCAGGUUAAUACCCCGCUGUUCUGACGGUACCCAAAGAUUAAGCACCGGCUAACUUCGU
This 490-nucleotide ribosomal RNA is filed under the name uncultured bacterium. RNAcentral describes it as "partial 16S ribosomal RNA". It matches the Rfam family "Bacterial small subunit ribosomal RNA", at positions 29 to 506 of the family's 1533-position model. The record is from RNAcentral.